CCGAGUUUUCAACUCCCAAACCCUUAUGUGAACCUACCUACUGUUGCUUCGGCGGACUCGCCCCAGCCGGACGCGGACUGGACCAGGCGGCCGCCGGAGACCCCUAAACUCUUGUAUUAUCAGCAUCUUCUGAAUCCGCCGCAAGGCACAACAAAUAAAUUA
RNAcentral lists this unclassified non-coding RNA (162 nucleotides) under uncultured Beauveria. RNAcentral's name for it is "sequence contains ITS1". The record is from RNAcentral. Lineage: Eukaryota; Fungi; Ascomycota; Sordariomycetes; Hypocreales; Cordycipitaceae.